UAGCCGGCUCCACCGCCCGUCCCGGCCGACUCAUCCCCGCCGACUGUGCUUUCCCACUCUGACUUCGGCCUCAACUUCCAAGAAACGAGCUCCUUCCCUUCUCCCAUCUGCCACCAGAGCGGGGAGGGCCGUUCGGAGACGCCUCCGGGGCCCGGGCUGGACAUGAGCCGCGGCUGCCGGUCUUGGGACUAGGCCCCGCCAUUUUGGAUCCGCUGACAGGUUUGCCAGGAUGGUGGAUAAGAAUAUUUACAUCAUUCAAGGGGAGAUUAACAUUGUGGUGGGUGCUAUAAAACGAAAUGCCAGAUGGAGCACCCAUACACCAUUGGAUGAAGAACGGGAUCCUCUGCUGCAUAGUUUUGGUCAUCUAAAGGAGGUUUUAAACAAUACAACAGGUAAGUCUC
Molecule: long non-coding RNA, 401 nt
Organism: Galeopterus variegatus (Sunda flying lemur)
Lineage: Eukaryota; Metazoa; Chordata; Mammalia; Dermoptera; Cynocephalidae
Exons: 3
Source: RefSeq, a predicted model, not a curated record